This 497-nucleotide ribosomal RNA is filed under the name uncultured bacterium. RNAcentral's name for it is "partial 16S ribosomal RNA". It matches the Rfam family "Bacterial small subunit ribosomal RNA", at positions 28 to 507 of the family's 1533-position model. The record is from RNAcentral.
GAUGAACGCUGGCGGCGUGCCUAAUACAUGCAAGUCGAGCGAACGGACGAGAAGCUUGCUUCUCUGAUGUUAGCGGCGGACGGGUGAGUAACACGUGGAUAACCUACCUAUAAGACUGGGAUAACUUCGGGAAACCGGAGCUAAUACCGGAUAAUAUUUUGAACCGCAGGGUUCAAUAGUGAAAGACGGUCUUUCUGGCACUUAUAGAUGGAUCCGCGCUGCAUUAGCUAGUUGGUAAGGUAACGGCUUACCAAGGCAACGAUGCAUAGCCGACCUGAGAGAGUGAUCGGCCACACUGGAACUGAGACACGGUCCAGACUCCUACGGGAGGCAGCAGUAGGGAAUCUUCCGCAAUGGGCGAAAGCCUGACGGAGCAACGCCGCGUGAGUGAUGAAGGUCUUCGGAUCGUAAAACUCUGUUAUUAGGGAAGAACAUAUGUGUAAGUAACUGUGCACAUCUUGACGGUACCUAAUCAGAAAGCCACGGCUAACUACGUG